GAGGAAUGUAUAGCAAUAGCUACUUGCAUCAUUGUAUAAAUGAUGCAGGAUCGACUAUGUCGAAUAAAAUUCUAGGUAGAAUUAUGAUAAUGACAUUGUCUGCCUAUGUGUCUUGACCAAAUUACGUGCCAGCAGUCGCGGUAAUACGUAGAAGACUAGUGUUAUUCAUGUUUAAUCGGUUUAAAGGGUACCUAGACGGUAGAUCAAGCCUAACAUAUUAGAUAAAGGGACUAAUUUACUAGAGUUACUUAUGAGGGGGUAUUAAAGUACUGCUGGUGUAGAGAUGAAAUUCUGUCAUACCUCUUUUCAAUAGAAAAAUAAUGGCACAGGUAUAGGCGAAAGCAUCCCCUUAUGUGAUAACUGACGUUGAGGGACGAAGGCUUUGUGUAGCGAACAGGAUUAGAUACCCCAGUAGUCAAAGCAGAAAAUGAUGAAUGUCAUAGAUUAGAUAAAUAAGUUUAUUCUAUAAAUGAAAGUGUAAGCAUUCCACCUCAAGAGUAAUUUGGCAACAUUGGAACUGAAAUCAUUAGACCGUUUCUGAAACCAG
Molecule: ribosomal RNA, 547 nt
Filed under: Pseudevernia furfuracea
Lineage: Eukaryota; Fungi; Ascomycota; Lecanoromycetes; Lecanorales; Parmeliaceae
Description: SSU rRNA
Rfam family: Bacterial small subunit ribosomal RNA
Source: RNAcentral